Molecule: long non-coding RNA, 647 nt
Filed under: Marmota monax (woodchuck)
Lineage: Eukaryota; Metazoa; Chordata; Mammalia; Rodentia; Sciuridae
Source: RNAcentral
GGUGCAGUGGAUAGUGAAGGACAUCAUCAAAACCUUCAGGAGGAACCCACAUGUAGAUAAAAUUGGCCUGAUCCCAUGCCCUGAAGCAACAUAUAACUGAAGUCCCAUAGUCCUGGUUGAAAACAAACUUGGUGUGUAGAGGUGGUAUGUGAAGUUCCUUUUGCCAUAUAUCCACAAUAAGCUCCUUUUUUACAGAAUGAACAAGCAAUAGCUGAACACAGAUGAAUUGAUAUUUUUCACAUGUACCCUGCUGCUUUAAACACAGACAAUACUACAGCAUGGAAUGUGAAAAAGAGCUGAUCCUCUCUGGCACUUUAAAUCCCAUUAAGGACUUACAGCUAGGAAAACUGGUCUUAACUGAGUUUCCAGAGUCCAAAAACAUGGAUUCACAGGCGAUAGGUGCUACAGCAGCUAAUUCAGAAAACUUUCUUGCCUUCCUUUAUGACCAAAAGAAACUUGGGAACAAUUCCUGCAGAGAGGACACAGCUACUAAUACAAAAAGAGAUGAAAGUCUAUAGUGCAGCAGCAGUGGCCAAGCUAGAUGUCAAUAUUCUUCUUGAUGAACUAUCUUCUACAAACCAUUGGGCAUCCGCAAAUGUUUCAGACCACAGUGGAUUUCACUACUGCCAGUUUUUGUUAAAAUCUUU